AACCUCCCACCCGUGACUACCUAACACUGUUGCUUCGGCGGGGAGCCCUCUCGGGGGCGAGCCGCCGGGGACUACUGAACUUCAUGCCUGAGAGUGAUGCAGUCUGAGUCUGAAUAUAAAAUCAGUCAAAACUUUCAACAAUGGAUCUCUUGGUUCCGGCAUCGAUGAAGAACGCAGCGAACUGCGAUAAGUAAUGUGAAUUGCAGAAUUCAGUGAAUCAUCGAGUCUUUGAACGCACAUUGCGCCCCCUGGCAUUCCGGGGGGCAUGCCUGUCCGAGCGUCAUUGCUGCCCAUCAAGCCCGGCUUGUGUGUUGGGUCGUCGUCCCCCCCGGGGGACGGGCCCGAAAGGCAGCGGCGGCACCGUGUCCGGUCCUCGAGCGUAUGGGGCUUUGUCACCCGCUCGAUUAGGGCCGGCCGGGCGCCAGCCGACGUCUCCAACCAUUUUUUUCAGGUUGACCUCGGAUCAGGUAGGGAUACCCGCUGAACUUAAGCAUAUCAAUAAGCGGAGGAACAUUACCGAGUGCGGGCUGCCUCCGGGCGCCAACUCCACCCGUGACUACCUAACACUGUUGCUUCGCGGGGAGCCUCUNGGGGCGAGNCGGGGACUACUGAACUUNUGCUGAGAGUGAUGCNNCUGAGUCUGAAUAUAAAAUCAGUCAAAACUUUCAACA
Molecule: ribosomal RNA, 671 nt
Filed under: Aspergillus versicolor
Lineage: Eukaryota; Fungi; Ascomycota; Eurotiomycetes; Eurotiales; Aspergillaceae
Description: eukaryotic LSU rRNA
Rfam family: 5.8S ribosomal RNA (bases 130-283)
Source: RNAcentral